Molecule: non-coding RNA, 131 nt
Filed under: Pteridomonas danica
Lineage: Eukaryota; Dictyochophyceae; Pedinellales
Source: RNAcentral
GAGCUCCAGCUACUUCGAAGUCUUAUCGAGCUCUCAAACCUUCAGAACCACAAGAAGUGAGUGAAUAUGAUAGUAAUGAGGAUAAUGAGGAAAACGACGGUAAUACUUUAGGCGAUGAGCAAGAUCGCAUU